Molecule: ribosomal RNA, 253 nt
Filed under: uncultured bacterium
Lineage: Bacteria
Description: partial 16S ribosomal RNA
Rfam family: Bacterial small subunit ribosomal RNA
Source: RNAcentral
UACGAAGGGUGCAAACGUUGUUCGGAAUUACUGGGCGUAAAGGGCUCGUAGGUGGCCAACUAAGUCAGACGUGAAAUCCCUCGGCUUAACCGGGGAACUGCGUCUGAUACUGGAUGGCUUGAGUUUGGGAGAGGGAUGCGGAAUUCCAGGUGUAGCGGUGAAAUGCGUAGAUAUCUGGAGGAACACCGGUGGCGAAGGCGGCAUCCUGGACCAACACUGACACUGAGGAGCGAAAGCCAGGGGAGCAAACGGG